AUUGAACGCUGGCGGCAGGCUUAACACAUGCAAGUCGAGCGGAGAUGAGGUGCUUGCACCUUAUCUUAGCGGCGGACGGGUGAGUAAUGCUUAGGAAUCUGCCAUUUAGUGGGGGACAACAUUCCGAAAGGAAUGCUAAUACCGCAUACGUCCUACGGGAGAAAGCAGGGGAUCUUCGGACCUUGCGCUAAAUGAUGAGCCUAAGUCGGAUUAGCUAGUUGGUGGGGUAAAGGCCUACCAAGGCGACGAUCUGUAGCGGGUCUGAGAGGAUGAUCCGCCACACUGGGACUGAGACACGGCCCAGACUCCUACGGGAGGCAGCAGUGGGGAAUAUUGGACAAUGGGGGGAACCCUGAUCCAGCCAUGCCGCGUGUGUGAAGAAGGCCUUAUGGUUGUAAAGCACGUUAAGCGAGGAGGAGGCUACUGAGACUAAUACUCUUGGAUAGUGGACGUUACUCGCAGAAUAAGCACCGGCUAACUCUGUG
RNAcentral lists this ribosomal RNA (485 nucleotides) under uncultured bacterium. RNAcentral describes it as "partial 16S ribosomal RNA". It matches the Rfam family "Bacterial small subunit ribosomal RNA", at positions 30 to 507 of the family's 1533-position model. The record is from RNAcentral.